CUGGUUCCGGUUCACGUCCCCGACGAGCUCGGGUGGCGACCCGGCGACC
Molecule: non-coding RNA, 49 nt
Filed under: unclassified sequences
Description: L31-Actinobacteria ribosomal protein leader
Rfam family: L31-Actinobacteria ribosomal protein leader
Source: RNAcentral